This 520-nucleotide ribosomal RNA is filed under the name uncultured Glomus. RNAcentral's name for it is "SSU rRNA". It matches the Rfam family "Eukaryotic small subunit ribosomal RNA", at positions 569 to 1090 of the family's 1831-position model. The record is from RNAcentral. Lineage: Eukaryota; Fungi; Glomeromycota; Glomeromycetes; Glomerales; Glomeraceae.
AGCAGCCGCGGUAAUUCCAGCUCCAAUAGCGUAUAUUAAAGUUGUUGCAGUUAAAAAGCUCGUAGUUGAAUUUCGGGAUCAAGUCGUCGGUCGUGCUCAGGUACGUACUGGCGUCAUUGAUUUCUCCCUUCUGACGAACCAUGAUGUCAUUAAUUUGGUGUUAUGGGAAAUCAGGACUGUUACUUUGAAAAAAUUAGAGUGUUUAAAGCAGGCUCACGCUUGAAUACAUUAGCAUGGAAUAAUGAAAUAGGACGUUCGAUCCUAUUUUGUUGGUUUUAGGAUCAACGUAAUGAUUAAUAGGGAUAGUUGGGGGCAUUAGUAUUCAAUUGUCAGAGGUAAAAUUCUUGGAUUUAUUGAAGACUAACUACUGCGAAAGCAUUUGCCAAGGAUGUUUUCAUUAAUCAAAGAACGAAAGUUAGGGGAUCGAAGACGAUCAGAUACCGUCGUAGUCUUAACCAUAAACUAUGCCGACUAGGGAUCGGAUGAUGUUAAUUUUUUCAAUGACUCAUUCGGCGCCUUA